AAAAAGAGCCACUUGAAUAUUUUUGAGCUAUGGGCUCCCUCUAACCUCAAUCUGCACUGUUUCUCUGCCAGGUUAUUGUAUUACCUGUGUCAUGGCUUCAUCUAUGUCAGGAUAAGAGGCUGAUUACCAGUAGCUAAAUGACUGGGAUGCAAGUUCACCAUGGUCAGCUAGAAGGUCACACAGAGCCAAUUCUAAGUAUCCCCAAAGAGCUCACCCAGGGGGUCUUUUAGAUUUGGUUGUUAUGUUUGUCCUUCUCUUCUGACCAGUGUCUACUUUGUCAUAAGGCUGGGUCAGAGAGCUGCCUCACUCAUUCUACAAACACCUGUGGGGUAUGCAGGGAUGUUCAGAGGUGAAACGAUGAAAUUAGGAGAGGUGUAACCUAAUCAGUGGAUGAGUCCAUUUGAUGGAUUAAUAUUUGACUGGAUUACUGGGUGGUAACUUCAGACAGGUGGGGCAUAGCUGGAGGAGGUAGUAGGUCACUGGGGUUGUGCUCUUGGGGACUCUAUAACUUGUCCCUGGCUCCUCUCUUAUUCUUUGCUUCUUAUCCACUUUGAGCUGAUCCUCUUUCCUCUGCCAUGUUCUUUGGCAAUGAUGUUUUGCCUUACCUUAGGCCCAGAGCCACGGAGCCUGCUGACCACGGACUGACCCUCUAAAACCAUGAGCCAAAAUAAACUUUUCCCUCCUGUAAGUUGUUUUCGUCAGGUGUUUUGGUCACAGUGAUAAAAAGCUGACUAACAUACCAGACACUGCCCCAUGCCAGGCUCUGGCAUGUCUUUGUCUUUGUCCCAUAUGGGUAGAUUGACCUCAUGGUUCCAAGCAAGGGUGGAAACCUCCAAGUCUUCCCUGAUACCCUGCUCAAGGUUGCAGUUCCCUGUCCUAAAGCUGUACCUUACCUUACACUAGCCAUGAGCUCCACAAGGUGGGGACCACGUCAGUCCUGCUCAUCACUGUGUUCCAGCACUAAGCACAGUGACUAGCACAUCCUAGGUGCUCAGUGUACAAAUGUGGAAUGGUUGGGCUGCUGUGGAAAGUUUUACAGAGGCGGUGCCACUUGAAGUGGGUCUUGAAAAGUCACAGGAGUUGGCCAGGAGAGGAGAUGAUACAGUACUUUGUAAAACAAAUGUGUAUGAUUAGGUUAAUGUCCCUUCUGGCUAGCACAGGGAAAUCCCUGAUGUUUAUAAGUAGUUUUAAUGGCAGCAUGGAAGUCAGGCCAGUGACGUGCCUCUUGAUUCUUAUUUCUCAAAGUAUUUGUGAGCCUUCCUUUCCACAUACCUGGAUAUCACCAGCUGCCUGCACUGAUGAGAUAAGCUGGGUUCAAAAGAGCUGGCUGCAACAUUAAGCUAAGAAAAUGGUGAGAAAUCACACAAUACAGAAGUAGUUUUCAUGUCAAGGGUAGGACACCUCUGAGACCUUAAGGGUCAACUGGGAAAGAGAGUGUGCACCUGGAGUCUAUUUCUUCACCAAAUAAGGCAGGAGAUAAUGUUUCAAAGGAAGAGUCUUGCUUUGUGAUGUCAGCAAAUUGACUGACAUCUUGGCAAGUCACACCCAUCUCAGGUGCAGUGAUCACAGGCAGAGUGAGAGGAGAGGCGCAUUUGUGUUGCACAGCCCAAUCAGAGUGCAAUGCCAGACCUGCCCCCUCACACAGCUCCAAUGCACAUAGCUCACACACAGAGCCCAUGGAAGGCUAGUGACACCUGGGAAACCCAUCUUGUAGUGAGAAUGGUUUGGUGAGUGUCGAGUCUCAGGACAGGAUGGACCACAGAAUCUGCCUUUCUUGCUUUCCUCUAUCUUCCUGUGAAAGAAAGCCACCACCCCCUCUAUAUUGGGUGCUUUGUUGUGCAUGUGCACCUCCAAAUUCUUACAAACUCAGUCCCCAAUGUAAUAGUGUUGACAGGCAAGACCUUGAACAGAUGAGUCAAUCAUGACGGUGGAACCCUCCUGAGUAAAUUCAGGUCUAUUAUACAAAUGCCUGAGUCUAUGUGCUUAAGUUUUUUUAUGCUUCAUGUCAUCAUAUUCUUCUGUCUUGGGAUGAAGUAGUAAGCAAGAUCUCAUCAGAUAUGGGUUCCUUUAAACUUGGACUUCCCAGGCCCCAGAACUGUACUAAAUAUUUUUUUUUAAAAAAAUAAAUGACUCAAUCU
RNAcentral lists this long non-coding RNA (2138 nucleotides) under Marmota monax (woodchuck). The record is from RNAcentral. Lineage: Eukaryota; Metazoa; Chordata; Mammalia; Rodentia; Sciuridae.